UACAGAGGUCUCAAGCGUUGUUCGGAAUUACUGGGCGUAAAGGGCUCGUAGGUGGCCAACUAAGUCAGACGUGAAAUCCCUCGGCUUAACCGGGGAACUGCGUCUGAUACUGGAUGGCUUGAGGUUGGGAGAGGGAUGCGGAAUUCCAGGUGUAGCGGUGAAAUGCGUAGAUAUCUGGAGGAACACCGGUGGCGAAGGCGGCAUCCUGGGCUAACACUGACGCUCAUGCACGAAAGCGUGGGGAGCAAACAGG
RNAcentral lists this ribosomal RNA (253 nucleotides) under uncultured bacterium. RNAcentral's name for it is "partial 16S ribosomal RNA". It matches the Rfam family "Bacterial small subunit ribosomal RNA", at positions 524 to 776 of the family's 1533-position model. The record is from RNAcentral.